UAUUUUCUGAUAUACACAGGAAAUUAAUCAGAGACUUGUUCUGCAGAACAGAAUGAAAUGAGAAGAAAAGAGGAAGGAGUUCAGGUAUAAGAUAAAGCCAAACCAUCAUGAUAUUGAUAAGCAAGACUAAAAACUCUUGUUCAGUCAUCCCCAGGUAAACACCAUUGCCUUUCUCAUACACAAUAAAAGAGUUCAAAAAAAGGUUAACCAGCAUAAAGAAACCUUUUGGGUCAUACAUCGUUCUUUCCCUUGGAAGAAACUGACAACACAGAAAAUCAUUUCUGGACAUCAGAAAUGAAACUAACUUUCCUUAUUUAGAUGCAACAGGACUUUAGUCAAGAACAGAGAUUCUUACAGUCUAAAU
Pezoporus flaviventris is the source of this 364-nucleotide long non-coding RNA. RefSeq lists it as uncharacterized. Lineage: Eukaryota; Metazoa; Chordata; Aves; Psittaciformes; Psittacidae. The record is from RefSeq and is a predicted model, not a curated record. The transcript is spliced from 3 exons.